AUGAGCACCUUGAGCUCGAGCGCUGCCGACUGCAGGGUGGCUGGAGUUGGGUGUUCUGCUCACAGGCAGAAGAAAACCACUUCAAGACAUCAAGAAGAGCCAACUGAGCCUAAUCCCAUUUUCCCUAGGACCUGGCAGCCAUUCAGGACUGCUUCUAUUGUAUUUACGUGGAAUUUGGUCACCUGUGGCUUCAGGCAGCCCAAAUCUCUCAGGAUGUGCAGGACAGGGAUGUGUUCCCGUUUCACACGAGGCCUCACGCUGAGGCUCCACAGUUGGCAUCAGUGCCCAAGAGCAGAUCUACAGUAUGAAUGUCCUUCCUGGAGGUAUUUCUGCAGAUGUGGAAGAAGGACCAACCCAGCUGAUUGUGGGGGAUUACAGCUAUUAACCAGGUUGCCAUGUGCCUUUAUUGUAAUUAUUGAAAGGAGUUAGGAGGAAGCAUGGACAAUGUCUCCUGUGCUUCUC
RNAcentral lists this long non-coding RNA (462 nucleotides) under Cyanistes caeruleus (blue tit). Its description in RNAcentral is "lncRNA (ENSCCEG00000002156.1)". Lineage: Eukaryota; Metazoa; Chordata; Aves; Passeriformes; Paridae. The record is from RNAcentral.